AUGGCCGCCGUCAACCUCCGCCCAUUCCACCCCCUCGCGCUCCCCGCGGCAAAAACCACCGCCAGUCCCAACCGCCUCCACCUGUCGGCGAAGGCAAGGGCGACGUGUAGAAGCGCCCGCCUCGCCUUGCUCGUGUGCUCCGCUUCCAGCCCCACCACGCCCGCAGCCCCCUCCUCCUCCUCGUCCUCAGGGGAAACCAGUGGCGCGGCGGCGGCCGUGGCCAGGUGGGCCGCGUGGAUCCCACGCGCCGCGGUGGGCGGGGUCAGCCCGGAGAAGGUCCUCAGGCUCAUCUCCGGCGCUGCGGCCACGCCCAUCUGCCAGUUCGUCGACUCCCCCCGCACCUUCCUCCACUCCGUCGACCCCCGCGUCAAGCUGGUGUGGCUUUUGGCCCUUGUUGUCCUACCAGCCAGGUCGAAUAUCUAUAUGCGGUUUGGUUUGGUAGCAUGCCUUGCUCUUCUUUCAAUGUGGGUUCUGCCGAACCAUGUUUGGAAGGAUCAACUUGGAAGGGUUACUCUUCUUUCAGGCAUCAUAUUCAUAAUGUUGGGAUUUGGUUCCGAUGGCGCGCCUUCGCUAGUCCAGACAAGAACUCCUCCCCCAUCUGUUCUGGGUGUGCCAAAUAUUCCUAGUUCCUUGAGUGGAUAUUCUUACACAAUCAUGAAACUAGGACCACUGCAGUUUACCAGGAAAGGCCUGUCAGUAGCGAGUACAUCGGCAUGCCUCUCCUUUGCGAUAUUCCAAAGUGCAAGUCUCUGCUUAACCACAACCACUCCUGAGCAGCUUGCUUCUGCUUUGUGGUGGUUUAUGAUUCCACUGAAGCUUAUUGGUGCGCCAGUACCCGAGAUAAUACUUACACUGCUAUUAUCUUUGAGGUUCAUUAAUCUAGUAUUUGAUGAGGUUCGCAAUUCUGCACUGGCAAUUGUAACACGUCGGAUUGAUUGGAAAAAGCUGGCCACUAUGGAAACUAUAGAUAUUUUUUUCAACUAUGUCCAGCGAAUUUUCAAAAAUAUAUUUGAUCACGCGGAGCAAAUAUCCAAGGCAAUGGUUGCUCGAGGAUACCGCGGUGAUCCUAGCAAGCACAAGAUCUACUUCCUCGCGGAGUCUUCAUUUGGCAUCGUGGAUGCAUUGUCGUUGCUUUGUUUACUUGCUGUAAUGGGCCUGGCUUCCUUUUCAGAAAGAUUGGUUUGA
This 1185-nucleotide ribosomal RNA is filed under the name Triticum aestivum (bread wheat). RNAcentral's name for it is "partial small subunit ribosomal RNA". The record is from RNAcentral. Lineage: Eukaryota; Viridiplantae; Streptophyta; Magnoliopsida; Poales; Poaceae.